CAAAAUUUAAGUUGAAGAUUUUAGAGUACUUUAAUAUUUCUAGAGUGUUUGAGGGGAGUUCAUUAGUUAUAAAAAUAAAAAUCUAAAUCUCACUGUUUUAGAUGAGAUUCUAAAGUGUUUUAACAAAAAUCACACCAAAUUCUCUAAUUCUCCUGCAAUCAUCUACAAACUCAUUAAAAAUCAAAUUACUUCAGUGGCAUGGAUUUAUAAAUAAAUGGUAGCUUUUAAGGUGAAUUCUUAUUUGUACUUCUUUUUUAAUAAAAUAGACGUAAACCAGUGUCUAUUUCAAAAAAAAUCUGGAUAUUUUAAUUUAAAUUAUAAAUCAACUACAUGUAUUCUAGAUCUCUUUAUGGAUAUGUAAAAGGAUAUAAUAGGUCUCAAAUGUUUAAAUUUAUGCCCACGCAUAAUAAUAAAUAUCAUUAGCUACUAGUCAGAUAAUCAACCUUUUCUGAAUUUGGAGGUGUUAAGGGGUUUAUGUUUUCUCAAUAUGUAGGGGCUGAAAACAUGUAAACACACGUGAUCUGGUUUUGUUAGGAUAUCAUCCAGGUAUAUUACCUAAUGAGAAUCUUUUCGAUUUUAUUAUCGUCUGAUUUAUUUUUCUAACUAAGAGCUUUAGCUUUAAUACAAAUUAAUAUGUGACCUUUAAAAUAUCAAAGGAAAAAAAAUAUGACCUUUGAUAUUUCUGCAUGAGAUGGUUAUGACAUAAUUGAAUAAUACUUGAAUUUAUGCCAAGUUACAAAAAAAAAAUAAUAAUACUUGAAUUCACAGAUUUGAUUAGUAUCUACGUAGGUGACGCGCGCGACACUGACUUUGCCGUCAAUCAUACGGCAGAAGUUUAUCUAAUUCAUGAAUACAAACAUAUUCAUUUCCCCAAAAACAAUUAUUACCCUUUAGUAUAUAGUGAUGCAUUUCAGCAUCUAAACCAUGUUCAUUAAUAGCGAAUGCAACUUUUUGUUAAAAGCGAAUGCGACUUAUAUUAAUUAGUGAAUAGCUAGAAAGUCUACUUAUUUGAUUGAAUAUAUGUAAAAAUUAGGGAAGUAACAUGUGCAUAGAGUAUGGGAAUCUCUGCAAGUCACAAAGAAUUUAGUUAGCAGCAUGUAAAAUUUAAGGUGAUGCAUAAUGUAGUCCAUGUGGAAAGGAGAAGAAUCCAUAAAUUAUGUCAUAAUUGAAUGUCACCCAACGGUUCAAACGUGGAUAUUUUUGAAAAUAAUGAAUUCAGCUAUUUUCGUAAUUAACAUAGUAUAUUUUUAAAAAGAAAAAAUGAUAAGAUUUAUAAGAAUAAAGAUAAACCAACAUAAAAGAUUAUGCGUAUAACAUAAAAAGAGAGAAGUUUGUGAACAAAAUAUAACUUCACGACUCAAGUUUUGGAAAUAAAUUUUGCUAAUCAAGUUAGCCAACAAAUGAGCGAUGUGAGAUGGUAUUAUGUGCAUAGAGUAUAAAAAUAAUAUGAUACUUUUACAAUCUAAUAAUGGUUAUGCGGUACCGAAUGUAAAAUGAAAAUAUUAUGAGGGUAAAAAAUACCCAGCAAAAUCUCUCAUAUGUAUAUGGAGAAUGUAAAAUUUUGAUUGGAUUAUGGAAUACAUGAAAAAUUUAUAAUAUUUGAAAAUAGUUUUCAUAGCCAGAUUAUUCUUAAUCAGUGAAGAUGAUUUUUUCACCGACAAAAUUGCCUCCUUUCAUUUUUCACAUGGAGGAAUUUCAUGUUAGUUAAAACAUGAUGUUUUUUUUUGUUAAAACGUCCCAGCAAGAACUUGGGUAGUCAUGGCCACCAAAGUUUGAGCAACAAGAUUUUUUUCUUUAAUUAAUGAUAAAAUUAUAUUUUUUUUUAUCUUCUUGUGCUUCCAUUUUCUAAUUCUAAUUUGCAGCUUCUAGUGUUUCAGACUAAAUUCAUCGUUUUGAAGCAUGUUUUUUUGCUAUUUACACAUAAACUUCAAGAUUUAAUAUUUUAUCAGCAGUUAUAAAUUUGAAAAGCAAAAAAUUUCUCUAUUGUUCAUGUUCUUACACAAAGAUUUCGGUUUGAUAAGUUAUCUGAUCGGUUUCAGGUAAAAGCCAAACUAAUAUAUGCGGUUCUUGACAUUAAGAAAUAAUAGGUACUAAAUAGUCUAUAACCGAAAUCGAUUCGAGCUGGUCCAUGUUGGAUCAGUUUGGGUUUGGAUAAUAAAUUUCAAUUUUAAAUUACAGCCUUAACUUCAAUUAUGUAUGUGAUUCAAUGUCACCAUUAAAGUUAGGAUAACUAUGAUAAAGCUUAGAUUUAAUUUUGAUUCGUGCUCUAAACUGUUAGUAGUACUUAAUUUCUAACUUUUUCUCUUUUACUAGAUAGUGUUUCAGACGAUAAUAUACCACAUGUGAAAGAGAAGAAAUGAGCGUCAACAUAGGGAAUCUUGUCAUCUGACGACCUAUAUUGUUAAACUAGUCGAUAAAAUAAUACAAAGAUGGUAUUUUCUGUGGUCUCGCUAAGAGGCUAGGAACUCUUCAAUUUAAAUGGUUCCAAGCAAAAGCGGCUGGUAAGGAACAAGGGUGAGGUUCUCUAAAUUUUCGAUUUCCAUAUUUUAUUAUUUGUUCUUAUAUUGAUCAAUAAAUUUAACUUUAAAAUAACAAAAAAUGAUUUUCAUUUUUUCUUGAGUUUUAUGCCAAAUUUAUUUUGUAACUCUUUUUUAUUCGAAUCUUAGCGAUAAAUGGCUGAAGUAUUUGUCAUCUCUUUCUUCGGUGACUUCUUUCAUUUAUUUCCUUCAUUUUCGAUGAUGUUCGAAUAUAUAGAAAAUUUGGAUCAUCUCAAAAUAAUAAUCAUUAACGUAUAGGACACUUGUCAACGACGAUGUUGAAUUGAUGCAUGUGAUUUUUGAUGAUUUACAUGUGCUAUAAGUAAAUCAUAUGGCUAUUGAUUUCCACUUCACAAAAAGUGGGAAAUAGAAAGAAUAUAGGGGGAAAAUAUGUUAAUGCUGUAAACUCCUAAUGCUUUGAAGAGUAUGGAAGCGGAUUUGCUUGGAAAAAAAAAGAGUAUCGAAAGCGACCAAGAGCAAUAGAGCAUGCGAGCGAGACAAAAGUAAAAUGUUUUUGUCCAUUAAAAGUAAAUGAUGUUUCACCACAACGUCCAGGUGCAUACCCCUCUCGAACAUAUACAUUCAUGCAGUGAAUGUCCAAGUGACAACAUAAUUCAUCCACAUUCAGUUAGAAUUUUACUAAUGUAAUAAUCAUCAUCAUGAUAUUUAAACACAAAUAGUUUUGUAGAACAAUUAAUUGUGUUUGAACGUUUCCUACGACAUUAAUAUUUUUUGCCAAAAGUCUUUUUUUUGGUACGCAUGUUAAAUAUUUUGCCAAAAGUCAUUUUUGUACGCAUGUUAAAUUUUUAUUUAUUUUUUUUCUGUCAAAAGUUUCUUAGGAAAUUUUGAUUAAAGAUAUAUGAGGUGGAGAAAGAUCACAGACUAAUAUCAAUAUCUCUGUAUCUUACUCCAUAAGCGAGCAAUGAACAAAAAAAAAAUUGAUUAUUCUAUUUAUAGAAUAAACUCCAUUAUAAAAUGAUAUAUGAAGUUGGGUCGAAACAUUUUUUACUCCAUACUCCAUUUCACUCCAUUUUAAAGUAAAAAUAAAGUGAGAUUAGAAAUUCCCUAAAAAAAUACUUCAGUUUUAAUAAAAUAAACUAGAGUUUGAUCCGCGCUAUCGUGCAUGUAUUUAUUUUUACUUAUAAUUUUUUUAUACUAAAUGCAUAAUACCUAUUUAUAAAUUUAAAUGUAUUAUAUAGUUUUCAGUAUAAGAGUUUAAAACAUAACAAAUUUACACAAAAAUAUUAAAUAACUAUAUUUUAUGUUUUAACCUUUUAUUGUAUCGCCGACAAUGGGUAUAAUAUAAAAAAUCAAUGCAUGAUAAAUCAGUUAAAUUCUUUAACGAACAAAUGGAUGGGUGUAUUGUAUUGAUGAUGUUGUUUAUUAAUUCUGUAAUGGUAAAGCUUGAUCCUUGUAUCCACUGUUAUUUUGAAGUUGAUGUUUGGUUUAGUAAAAAAAAUAUCUUUGCAUAAUAUUAGUAAUCUUAUAAAUCAUGGUUUUAUUUGUUAAGAUUUUGUUUAUUAAUGGAAAAAUAUCUUAGCAUAAUCUUAGUAAUUCCAUUAAGUGAUAUUGUUUGGCGAGUCCAAAAACAUACAUAUCAUUUUUACAUAUAUUUUCUUAUAAGUUUUAAACACUUUCCCAUGAAUACAAAUUUAAUGAUUGUUCAUUGAUGGAGGCUUGUUUGCUAACACGAUUUUUAUGGUAAUUAAUAUUUAUAAUGUAUAUUCUAUGUUUAUUUAUUAAGGUUAAUUAAUGUUAAGAGUGAAAAGAAGAAUGAUAUGAGAAUUUAACUGAACUUGCUGUACAUUAAUUUAGAAAAUUAAUUAUUAAAUUAGGAAAAUACAUUAGAUACUUAAAGUUAAGUUUAUUAGGAGGGUGUAUUCAACUAAGAGUUUCAAGUGAUUUGCAUUAAAAUGACAAAUCCACUGUUAUUCAAACAUGGAUUUUAAAAAACACUUUAAAAUCCAGUGUUAUUGAACUUGUCGUUUCAUAAAACACUCUGAAAUCCACUGUUAUUGAACAAAAUUUAAGUUGAAGAUUUUAGAGUACUUUAAUAUUUCUAGAGUGUUUGAGGGGAGUUCAUUAGUUAUAAAAAUAAAAAUCUAAAUCUCACUGUUUUAGAUGAGAUUCUAAAGUGUUUUAACAAAAAUCACACCAAAUUCUCUAAUUCUCCUGCAAUCAUCUACAAACUCAUUAAAAAUCAAAUUACUUCAGUGGCAUGGAUUUAUAAAUAAAUGGUAGCUUUUAAGGUGAAUUCUUAUUUGUACUUCUUUUUUAAUAAAAUAGACGUAAACCAGUGUCUAUUUCAAAAAAAAUCUGGAUAUUUUAAUUUAAAUUAUAAAUC
This 4881-nucleotide long non-coding RNA is filed under the name Brassica napus (rape). RNAcentral's name for it is "long non-coding RNA (BNAP_LNC016418)". Lineage: Eukaryota; Viridiplantae; Streptophyta; Magnoliopsida; Brassicales; Brassicaceae. The record is from RNAcentral.